This 421-nucleotide ribosomal RNA is filed under the name uncultured bacterium. RNAcentral's name for it is "bacterial SSU rRNA". It matches the Rfam family "Bacterial small subunit ribosomal RNA", at positions 355 to 774 of the family's 1533-position model. The record is from RNAcentral.
UAAGGAAUAUUGGUCAAUGGACGCAAGUCUGAACCAGCCAUGCCGCGUGAAGGAUGAAGGUCCUCUGGAUUGUAAACUUCUUUUAUAGGGGACGAAAAAAGGGAAUUCUUUCUCGUCUGACGGUACCCUAGGAAUAAGCACCGGCUAACUCCGUGCCAGCAGCCGCGGUAUACGGAGGGUGCAAGCGUUAUCCGGAUUUACAGGGUUUAAAGGGAGCGUAGGUGGGUCUGUAAGUCAGUGGUGAAAUCUCCGAGCUUAACUCGGAAACUGCCAUUGAUACUAUCAGUCUUGAAUAUUGUGGAGGUCAGCGGAAUAUGUCAUGUAGCGGUGAAAUGCUUAGAUAUGACAUAGAACACCAAUUGCGAAGGCAGCUGGCUACGCAUAUAUUGACACUGAGGCACGAAAGCGUGGGGAUCAAACA